This is a long non-coding RNA of Halichondria panicea, 677 nucleotides long. RefSeq lists it as uncharacterized. The record is from RefSeq and is a predicted model, not a curated record. The transcript has 3 exons. Lineage: Eukaryota; Metazoa; Porifera; Demospongiae; Suberitida; Halichondriidae.
AGGUUUGUUUUUAGAGCUAUCUUUUAGAGGCCAUAACUUGUGUUAGGAACGUCCUAUUUAACAAACUCAAAGACGCAUUCUGUAGCUCUGAGAAAGCACUAUUGUAUACAAUUAAAGUGUCUUAAAACCGCUAAUUGCUCGCAGUGCCAAAGCUCACUAAUUUGUGUGUCCUAUGCUGUAGAUGUGGGAACAUGGAACCAUCGUCGGUUGUGUGCAGUGUAUUAUAGUUGUACCCCCGGGUUUGAAGUGAUCCAUGGAUCACAGUACUUUGUCCUCUCGUCAGCAUUUGGAGCUAACAUCAUGAUCAUACUCCACGUGUGCUGGGGGGUGGUCUACUUUGAUGGCUGGGAGAUGCUGCAUCGCGAUGGACUCACCAACCUCACUAAGGGCACACUGCACGGCUACUUCAACGUCCUUCUGGUCAUAGCCUCUCAUAUGGGCAUCUCCCUAUUAUCAUUGCUCAACCAGUCCCUACCCCCCACCUAUUUUCUAGUGGCCUCGUACGCUAUGGCCCUGUUUCUGAUUGGUUACUCCCUGCACCUGGCCGGAGAAAGAAUCGGAACACUCAAGCACUUUGUAGCUCUAUCUAACUCUUGUGAUAAACAAAUGUAGUAUUAUAAUAUAAUUAUCGUGUGUUUGUGUGUGUGUGUGUUAAUGAAACAUGUUUAAUGCACUGG